CCUANGGGAGGCAGCAGUAAGGAAUAUUGGUCAAUGGACGAAAGUCUGAACCAGCCAUGCCGCGUGAAGGAUUAAGGCCCUCUGGGUUGUAAACUUCUUUUAUCUGGGACGAAAAAAGGGUAUUCUUACUCACUUGACGGUACCAGAGGAAUAAGCACCGGCUAACUCCGUGCCAGCAGCCGCGGUAAUACGGAGGGUGCAAGCGUUAUCCGGAUUUACUGGGUUUAAAGGGUGCGUAGGUGGAUUUGUAAGUCAGUGGUGAAAUCUCCGGGCUUAACCCGGAAACUGCCAUUGAUACUAUAAGUCUUGAAUUAUCUGGAGGUAAGCGGAAUAUGUCAUGUAGCGGUGAAAUGCUUAGAUAUGACAUAGAACACCAAUUGCGAAGGCAGCUUACUACGGAUAUAUUGACACUGAGGCACGAAAGCGUGGGGAUCAAACAGGAUUAGAUACCCCGNUANUC
RNAcentral lists this ribosomal RNA (460 nucleotides) under uncultured bacterium. RNAcentral's name for it is "bacterial SSU rRNA". It matches the Rfam family "Bacterial small subunit ribosomal RNA", at positions 338 to 795 of the family's 1533-position model. The record is from RNAcentral.